AUACGGAGGUUGCAAGCGUUACUCGGAAUCACUGGGCGUAAAGCGCGCGCAGGCGGGCUGAUAAGUUGGAUGUGAAAGCCUACGGCUCAACCGUAGAACUGCAUCCAAAACUGUCAGUCUAGAGUGUGGGAGAGGAAGAUGGAAUUAGUUGUGUAGGGGUAAAAUCCGUAGAGAUAACUAGGAAUACCAAAAGCGAAGGCAAUCUUCUGGAACACUACUGACGCUGAGGCGCGAAGGCGUGGGGAGCAAACAGGAUUAGAAACCCCUGUAGUCC
This 274-nucleotide ribosomal RNA is filed under the name uncultured bacterium. RNAcentral's name for it is "partial 16S ribosomal RNA". It matches the Rfam family "Bacterial small subunit ribosomal RNA", at positions 523 to 796 of the family's 1533-position model. The record is from RNAcentral.